This 388-nucleotide ribosomal RNA is filed under the name Macquaria australasica (Macquarie perch). RNAcentral describes it as "partial 12S ribosomal RNA". It matches the Rfam family "Bacterial small subunit ribosomal RNA", at positions 794 to 1384 of the family's 1533-position model. Lineage: Eukaryota; Metazoa; Chordata; Actinopteri; Centrarchiformes; Percichthyidae. The record is from RNAcentral.
GCCUAGCCCUAAACAUUGAUAGUAUAAUACACCUACUAUCCGCCUGGGGAUUACGAGCAUUAGCUUAAAACCCAAAGGACUUGGCGGUGCUUUAGACCCACCUAGAGGAGCCUGUCCUAGAACCGAUAACCCCCGUUCAACCUCACCCUUCUUUGUUUUCCCCGCCUAUAUACCGCCGUCGUCAGCUUACCCUGUGAAGGACUAAUAGUAAGCAGAAUUGGCACAGCCCAAAACGUCAGGUCGAGGUGUAGCGUAUGGAAGGGGAAGAGAUGGGCUACAUUCCCUAACACAGGGAAUACGAAUGAUGUCCUGAAACGUACAUCCUGAAGGAGGAUUUAGCAGUAAGCAGAAAACAGAGAGUUCUACUGAAGCUGGCCCUGAAGCGCGC